AAGAUUUGGACUCUGUAACAGUCCUUGUAUACUUGGACUUGUAAUGAGAAGAACAAUGGAAGUUGUUUUAAGAGCCACAAAGUAGGUAAAAGGCCUUAUUGGGAGCAAGGGGUGGAAAGUUCUCCUAGAUUAGGAGAUGGACUGGAAGCUUUGCUUUUGCCACCUCUGUGUGCUUCUUGCCUUUUUACUUUCUUCUCCUGAAUAUCAACACUAGUGUAUUACUUGAUACCCCAUUUCCACAUACCUGUUUCUAAAAGGUCUGCCUUUCUCUUUUACAUCAGAAAGUCAGGGUGUAGCAAAGUUUUAGCCUCCUUUGUCUAGUCACAAUAUGACUACUUUUACAAUGGCCUUUUCCUCUAAAAAUCAAGUGCUAAAUAGACUUUUCAACUUUGCAUCAGUAUUUUGUACCAGUUAGUUGUUAAGUUAAUGAAGUAGUCCUACCAGCCUAAGCAGUACAUAAUAUCUGUUCCUUUUUACUUAAAAAUAGGUUUAGUGUAUUUUUCCUUUG
RNAcentral lists this long non-coding RNA (508 nucleotides) under Bos taurus (domestic cattle). Its description in RNAcentral is "long non-coding RNA NONBTAT019186". The record is from RNAcentral. Lineage: Eukaryota; Metazoa; Chordata; Mammalia; Artiodactyla; Bovidae.